AAAACAUGACAAGUACUUCAAAGUAGUAAUAGCGCUAGUUGACCAAUAUCUUAAACUGCUCAUGUAAACGAGCUGUUAAAUAAAUACUUUGCUGGUAGCCAAGCCCAACACGUAAUUAACUGGGCCUAUUAGGCAGGCUAGAAAGGACCAGAUCGGUUGAUCCGUUGAUCGGAGAAGGGGAGGACACGGACACAGGGGAAAUAAAAUAUCGAACAGACAAGGUUCUUCUCCGUUGCUGUUCCAUACGGAAACAGUUUCCCCAAAUCACGAGUGCUACCAAGCGCCGGAGAUUGUCACCGGGAGGGGGGUUGGCGGGCCGCGUCCCGGCGGGCGCCGCCGGUCGGAAUCGGCUACCGCGACUCAUUCGGCCGAGCCGCUGGGGGGGCUCGCUAGGAGGCAGCGGCCAUGGGUGCGGCUGCAUCGCAGGGAUGCGAGCGGGAGCAGCGUCCGCCGCCGUCUCUCCCUCGCGGCGCUGCGCCUUGGGCGGUCGCUCCACUGCGGACGACGCCGCACCGUGAGGAGCCGCAGACCGAGGUCCCACGGUCCCGGGUGCCGCUGCGCCGCUCUGACGCAGGUCGGCUGUCGGCUUGGGCGCAUGGUGCGACGUGCCGGUCGAAGAACGGGUCUGAGGCCGAGGAGCCUUUCCGUUGUCCGAUGUUAUCAAGGUGAUAAGAACAUCUUGAAUCGGAGGUCACUUUGGUGCUCACCUUGUUGGUUCGAGGUCUUCGAUUUUUAGUGGUUCUUACCUAUUAGCAUAGCAGAUGUAUGCCUCUGUUCUUCCCGUUCCUCUCUGUUCUUCUUUUCUUCUUGAAAUCGAGAUCGCUCAGUUGAGAGCGUGCUGAUAACGUGUUGAACGUAAACGAGAGAAUGUGAAACUUGUCUAUUGCAUUGAUCCU
Molecule: long non-coding RNA, 896 nt
Filed under: Hordeum vulgare
Lineage: Eukaryota; Viridiplantae; Streptophyta; Magnoliopsida; Poales; Poaceae
Description: long non-coding RNA (HVUL_LNC011095)
Source: RNAcentral